This 492-nucleotide long non-coding RNA is filed under the name Oryza sativa Indica Group (long-grained rice). RNAcentral's name for it is "lncRNA OsMH63_11G006610". Lineage: Eukaryota; Viridiplantae; Streptophyta; Magnoliopsida; Poales; Poaceae. The record is from RNAcentral.
AGGACUCUAACAAAUGCGUCAACUAACGAUGGCAUCCACUCAAGCACUGGAGUCCUGCCAUGGAAAUCAUCCAGCUUCAGAGAAACAAGACUCGGCAUAGCGAUACAGCUAGAUGAGAUCUUGGCACAGUCAAAUUUGCAUGACUCAAACACUAGAUGCUCCAAUGCUGGACAGCUCGAGAAGUUAAGAAAGCUGUCGUUUAGGCCUAUGUUCUUAAGCUGUAGCCUCGUCAAGUGUCGGGAGACAAGUGGCAUCUCAUCUAUCAGAAACGGGAAGCGAUACCAUAUAUCGACAUCGAGCAAGAGGAACCGAACCUUGUGGAGCAAAGCAUGCCUGAACCAGUGGUUCACCCGUACUGUAUCAUCGAGGCCCUCGUCUCUGUACCAAUCGAGCCAACGGAACCUUAGCACGCACGUGUCGAGAGGUGCGCCAUCACGGAGUAGCAGCAGACGGUCGAGAAACUCCUUAUUGUCCUUCACGCAGCGCAGAUAG